AGAGUUUGAUCAUGGCUCAGGACGAACGCUUGCGGCGUGCCUAAGAAAUGCAAGUCGAGCGAGUGACGGGGCUUCGGCCCCUGAUCUAGCGGCGAACGGUCGCGUAACACGUAAGCAACCUGCCCCGAAGACCGGGACAACAUUCCGAAAGGAGUGCUAAUACCGGAUGUGGCCACUGGGAGACAUCUCCUGGUGAUUAAAGCCUGUACAAGGGCUUCGGGAGGGGCUUGCGGCCUAUCAGCUAGUUGGUGGGGUAACGGCCUACCAAGGCGACGACGGGUAGCUGGUCUGAGAGGACGAUCAGCCGGACUGGGACUGAGAUACGGCCCAGACUCCUACGGGGGGCAGCAAUUAGGAAUCUUGCACAAUGGGCGAAAGCCUGAUGCAGCGACGCCGCGUGAGGGAGGAAGUCCUUCGGGAUGUAAACCUCUUUUAUCAGGGAAGAAAAAAAUGACGGUACCUGAUGAAUAAGCUCCGGCUAACUACGUGCCAGCAGCCGCGGUAAUACGUAGGGAGCGAGCGUUGUCCGAAGUUACUGGGCGUAAAGCGCGCGUAGGCGGGCUAUUAAGUGAGAAGUGAAAGGCUGGGGCUCAACCUCAUGCAGUGCUUCUCAUACUGGUAGUCUUGAGGGCGGUAGAGAGAAGUGGAAUGGCUGGUGUAGCGGUGAAAUGCGUAGAUAUCAGUCGGAACACCGGUGGCGAAGGCGGCUUCUUGGGCCGUUCCUGACGCUGAGGCGCGAAAGCCAGGGGAGCGAACGGGAUUAGAUACCCUAGUAGUCC
This 779-nucleotide ribosomal RNA is filed under the name uncultured bacterium. RNAcentral describes it as "bacterial SSU rRNA". It matches the Rfam family "Bacterial small subunit ribosomal RNA", at positions 8 to 796 of the family's 1533-position model. The record is from RNAcentral.